GUAGGGAAUCUUCCACAAUGGACGAAAGUCUGAUGGAGCAACGCCGCGUGUGUGAUGAAGGGUUUCGGCUCGUAAAACACUGUUAUAAGAGAAGAACGUCAGUGAGAGUAACUGCUCAUUGAGUGACGGUAUCUUAUCAGAAAGGGACGGCUAAAUACGUGCCAGCAGCCGCGGUAAUACGUAUGUCCCAAGCGUUAUCCGGAUUUAUUGGGCGUAAAGCGAGCGCAGGCGGUUAUUUAAGUCUGAUGUGAAAGCCUACGGCUCAACCGUAGAAUUGCAUCGGAAACUGGAUGACUUGAGUGCAGUAGAGGAGAGUGGAACUCCAUGUGUAGCGGUGAAAUGCGUAGAUAUAUGGAAGAACACCAGAGGCGAAGGCGGCUCUCUGGACUGUAACUGACGCUGAGGCUCGAAAGUGUGGGUAGCAAACAGGAUUAGAAACCCUAGUAGUCC
Molecule: ribosomal RNA, 450 nt
Filed under: uncultured bacterium
Lineage: Bacteria
Description: bacterial SSU rRNA
Rfam family: Bacterial small subunit ribosomal RNA
Source: RNAcentral